CCAAAUUUGCGCCUAUGUUCUACCCAUGAAUAACAGAGGACGACUCUUUCCAUUCCAAACAAGAUUGAAUUUCACAAGCACACAUGUCUUUUCUCCUUGCCUUCUGUUCCCGGUUGGGAGGCUUGGUUGGUGCUUGAAGAAGGGUCGUUAUGCUCAGUGAGUCGGAACUAGAGAAUACGAAGACGCGCGCGCGCGCGCUCUUUUUCUCUUGCUCUUGAUAUCGCUCUCGCUCUCGCGCUACCGUCACAAUUUGUCUGUAGCAGUGGCGGCAACGACUUCCCAUUGGUUCUCCCUUUGAUAUCCAGGUGUAUCUCUCAUCUGCUCUACGCUGUUGUUUUCUUCUCAUUUUCUGGGAGGAUGCUUGUAGUUUCUUUUUUUUUUUUUUUUCCUUCUCUUUUCCCUAAGAAAAUUGUAUUUUAUUUAUUUAUUUAUUUAACUUUAUUGUUAAAGACUGAAUCUUAGUGGAAGAUCAAGAAAUGUUAUGUAGGGUUGUUUCUCAAGGUUGUUAGUUGAGAUAGAUGUGCUUCAGUCUUCACCAAAAAGUGAAAGGAAGUGAGUUUUGUCUGUGGGAGAAGAAAGCUAUAUCAGGCUAAGGCCAGAGGAGCAUGUGGGUUGAUAUCCACAUGUGAUUGUGUGUUAUGUGGUUGUAGAAAAGGAGCUUUGGUGGUACAUUUCUUGUUGGAGAUGUUUGAUGGUGCCUUUAGGAUUCUUACUAUUAGGGAAAAACCUUGGGGCUAUUUUUUUAUUUUAUAUUUUUGAGUGCAAGGGGUGCCUAAGGAAGAGUUUGUUGACAGACCUAGAAUUGAACCAAGGUUGGUCAUUAAUUUUGAGUAUGAACAAAAAAAAAGAAAAAAAUAACAAGAAUUUUAGUCUGAAUUGAACCAAAUUGAACUAAACUUUUGGUUGUCUAUCUUAUAAUGAAUAUUUUAGAAAUACUCAUUUGCACGAAGCCACCAGCUAGUGCAAAUUUUGUCUGUUAAAGGCUUAUUGAUCUGCUAAAAUCAAGACUUAGCUCAAAAGAUCUUGAGUUAUACUAGUGAUGCUUGGUAGGUGGCUCAGUGGAGUUGCCCUAGAACUUUCAUAAAGAGCAACAUAGAUAUUUCUUUAUACUUACAUGAAAGAAGUUCAAAAUUUUAGCUGAUGAAUUCAACACCCUUCAUUCAAAAUAGUCUAUAGAAUUAAUAAAGAAGUUGUUGACAAGCUUUCAUACAGUUUUCUCUUUUUUGGAUGUGUCUGGACACACACAUGACAAAGUAUUUAGAAUUAUUAUUUUAUGCUCUGACCAAAUAGUUUCAUCUUGCCCCAUUUUAACAUCUUGUUGCAGACAUAUGUACACACGUGUUUAGUCAGGUGUACAUUAAUAAAUUUCCAAUUCUUCUGUCAUUUUACAGAUCCAAAAUGAAGGAUAUUAUUUGUAAUUGAGAGUUAAAGAUGCUCUGCUAAAUGCUCUUCUUAUGGCUGCUAAAAGAUUUAGUUCAGGCACCUCACAAAUGCUUUCUCUUCUUUUUCCUGAUUGGAUCUGUGGGUGCUCUAAUACUUGAAAGAGAUGCAAUUUUUGGGAUAUUCUGUCAGAAAGCUCGGUUGAAUGUUAGAUUUUGCUGAUGCAUCUUGUUUUUAUUUUAUUUUAUUGUUUUGUUUUAUUUUGGUGUUGUAUUUAUCAUUUGAAUGAAGUGUUUAUUUAUGUAUAUGUUUCGGGUUACUUAAAGAAGUGUUUGAUU
Camellia sinensis is the source of this 1718-nucleotide non-coding RNA. The record is from RefSeq and is a predicted model, not a curated record. Lineage: Eukaryota; Viridiplantae; Streptophyta; Magnoliopsida; Ericales; Theaceae.